CAUCAUCUUCAACCAUUAUCUGAACCUCCAUCAUCAUCGUCUUCAACCAUCACCGUCGCCAUCUGAACCGCCACAACCACCACUGCCGCCACAACCAUCACCGUCGCCAUCAUCACCACCCCCGCCACAAACCUCCAUCAUCAUCAUCUUCAACCAUCACCGUCGCCAUCUGAACCGCCACAACCACCACUGCCGCCACAACCAUCACCGUCGCCAUCAUCACCACUGCCACCGCCACAAUAGUGGCUUACGCAGUGGAAGUACAAAUUUUCGAAAAUUAAUUAAUCAUCUACAAAAUGAAAGAUCAUGAUGAAAAAUAGAGAGGUGAAGAAGUACCUCAAAUUCAGAACCUUUUGAUGAUACAACAAGAACAAAACAAGCUUUUCUCCAGACAAGAUCACAGAGAUCGGAACUCGAAUUCUUAGAUUUGGUGAAGAAUCAAAACUUCUCUUUUCCGUUUAUAUCUCUUAUCAAUCAGUGUUGUGAAAAAUUAGGUGUAAAGGUUUGGCAGCCAUUAGAGACUAUAGAACGUGAGACACAAAGGCGAUGGUUGCAAUGAAGAAGAGGAAAUUGACACAUACGUUUUGCAUUGAUGUUGUGGGGCCAUCAAUUCAUCACACACACAACAAGAAUCCUUAAAAGCUUGAAGCUUUUAAAGAUCUUGAUGAAGAAUACACACAAGCAGACCUAAAUUCAAUCUGGGCUUCUCAAA
Molecule: long non-coding RNA, 712 nt
Organism: Helianthus annuus (common sunflower)
Lineage: Eukaryota; Viridiplantae; Streptophyta; Magnoliopsida; Asterales; Asteraceae
Exons: 2
Source: RefSeq, a predicted model, not a curated record